Molecule: RNA transcript, 2280 nt
Organism: Capsicum annuum
Lineage: Eukaryota; Viridiplantae; Streptophyta; Magnoliopsida; Solanales; Solanaceae
Gene name: retrovirus-related Pol polyprotein from transposon RE2
Exons: 2
Source: RefSeq, a predicted model, not a curated record
AUGUCCGAAGCAGUUUCACUUGUAUGGACCAGCUUUGCACAACAUGUUUCAUUCAUCUGUCUAUCAUCAAAACUUCUCAUGCCCUAACAUAAUGCUACUAUUAUUUAAAGUUAUGUCCAAUGGGCAAAAGAGAUUGUUGAUAAGUUGGCUGCCUUACAGCACCCAGUUACAGAUGAUGACUUGGUGGAGUUUGGUUUUGCUGGAGGCCCUGCCCAUCGCCCCUUCACAAGGUCCCUUGAAUCACGUCUUGAGGACGUCACCUUUGAUGCACUUUAUGGUAUGUUGUUGAAUGAAGAAAUACAAUUAAAACGUGAGGACGCUAGUACUAUUAUUGCCCCAACAGCACAAUAAACACAAUCUUCAAUCUCUACACCUUGUGGGCGCGAUAAGGGAUGUCUAAUUAAGGUCGCAGACGCUCUGCUGGCCAGGGAAAUUUUCAAAAAUCUCAGAGUCGUAAUUAUGUCACCACAAAUCAUUCUGGGACUCCACUACCUUCCACUGAUUUCUCCGUAAUUAUCUCUCAUAAUUGUGAAGUGAAGGAUCAAAUUGCACGUGUUUGUCUGUCACCUAGGACUGAUGGGUACCUGGAAACCCUCUUCAAAUCUAGCAUGUACGUAUUCCCAAUCAGCACCAAAUUGGUUGAUGGAUAGUGGCAUCCAACAUCAUCUAAGAUCUGAUCUUGACAAUCUUGCAAUUCAAUUGGAAUAUCAUGGUCUUGAAGAAGUUACCCUAGUUUUCCCUUUUGCUGCUCAAGAUGAUGCUAUGGUGCCUGCUACAUCCAUCAAUGUUGCCCAGCUUACUGUCCAGACACCUUCGUCACUUUCACAGCCAAUUGUGCCUAUUUCUUUCUUAUUGAACUCAUCUAGUCCAUCUCCUGCAACAGCCAGUACUGCCCUACGGGAUAAUUCAUCCUCCACUCUGCAAUGCAUGCUCUAAACAGUGGCUAGCAGCAACAUCUGAUCAGUCUCCUGUACACAUGUAUGCUAUGCCUACGAAUACAUCUUGUCUAUCUUUGGAGAUCCCCUCAAAUACAUUGCCUACGGAAGGUGAAAACCAAGUGGCUGAUUUUGAACAAUCUGUUCCUUCAAGAGAUGUGCGCCAUCCUAAUGAAUUGUCAUGCUCUUCAUCUAAGUCUCAUCCAGUGACUACUAGAUCACAAACAGGUUCAUUAAAACCAAAGUUUCCCACGUCUUACUUAGCUAUUUCCUCUAAUGUUGUUGAGCCUUCUUGUUACUCUUAAGCUGCAAAGUAUGCACAUUGGCAUAGGGCGAUGCAAGAGGAGUACAAGGCUCUCCUUCAAAAUGGAACUUAGCAGUUAGUUCCACCUUCUCCGUUUUAAAAUGGUAUUAGGAGCAAAUGGUUUUUUAAAACAAUGGUUAAGCCUGAUGGGUCUAUUACAAGGCUCGGCUCGUUGCUAAAGGGUAUCAUCAAAGACCGAGUAUGGACUAUGUUGAUACUUUUAGUCCUGUAGUGAAACCUGUCACCAUUCGUCUUCUUCUUUCCUUGGAUGUCUCAAACAACUGGUAUAUUACUCAAUUGUAUAUCUCCAAUGCUUUUCUUUACGUUACUCUUGAUGAAGUAGUGUGCAUGUCUCAACCUCCUGGGUUUGUUGACCCCGAUCGUCCUAAGUAUGUUUGCUUGCUCAAGCAUUGUCUUUAUGGGCUUAAACAAGCUCUGCGUAUGUGGAAUAAAUGCCUAACUAUCGCCUUGAUUUCUUACGGCUUUACCGGCUCAAAAACUAAUUGUUCGUUAUUUUAUUUGUCCUCCAAUAGUGAUAAAUUAUUUUGCCUGGUCUAUGUAGAUGAACUUCUUAUUUUGGGAUCUAGUUCGUCUCUUGUUGAUUCUCUUAUUACUUGCUUAAAGUCACAAUUCUCAGUGAGAGACCUUGGUCGCCUUUCUUAUUUUUGGGGAUUGAAGCAUCAUGGACCCCCUACUGGUUUGCACCUGUCGCAACAUCAAUAUGCUACUAAUUUGUUGUGGAAAGCACAGAUGGUCUGGCUGCAAUCAUAUUUCUACACCUACAGCAUUUUCCUGUAAACUUUUCAAGUUUGAAGGAUCUCCAUUCCUGAUGAAACUUUGCAGCGCAGCACACUCUUUCACACAACACACACACCUGUUUUCCCCUAGCUUUAACAGUUACUCCCUAUUUAUGAAGAUGGAACUCAUAAAUUAAAAGGUCAAUACGUUUUCUUCAAAUUGUGUUUAACUCUUUUCAUUGCUAAUCCAAUAUAAAUAGGUUUGCUGUCAGCAACAGAAAUUUAAGAGUAAGCAGAAUUUUAC